GAUAUUGGUCAAUAGCCUAACGGCUGAACCAGCAACUUGGGUGAAUGCUAUUUAGUAUAAUAAAGGAGGCUUAGAUGUUUCCUAUUUAUAUUAAAUAUUCAAAUUUUGAAUAUAGUUCUAGAUAAAAUAUUGAUAAUGACAAAGUUUUAUCUACAUGUCUUGACCAAAUCUUGUGCCAGCAGUCGCGGCAACACAAGGAAGACUAGUGUUAUUCAUCUUGAAUCGGUUUAACGGGUACCUAGACGGUAAAUUAGGCCUUAACUGGAACGUUUUUACUAGAGUUAUAUAUGCGUGAGGAAUAUGAAGUAUUACCAGAGUAGAGAUAGAAUUUUUUGAUACUGUUAAGACUGGUAAAGGCAAAAGCAAACCUUUAUAUAUUAACUGACGUUGAGGGACGAAGGCUUGGGUAGCAAACAGGAUUAGAUACCCUAAUAGUCCAGGCAGAGAAUUAUGAAUGUCAUAGAUUAUAUUAAAUAUAUUCUAUAAAUGAAAGUGUAAGCAUUCCACCUCAAGAGUAAUGUGGCAACGCAGGAACUGAAAUCAUUAGACCGUUUCUGAUACCAGUAGUGAAGUAUGUUAUUUAAUUUGUUAACCCUCAAAAAAUCUUACCACAAUUUGAAUAUAUAUAAUAUAUAUAAAUAUUUAUUUAUAUCUUUAUUUAUACAAGCGUUGCAUUGUUGUCUUCAGUUGAUGUUGUGAGAUUUUGGUUAGAUUCAUAAAAUCGACGUAAUCCCAUAUUCUAUUUAAAUAUUAAUAGAUUAGUUCACCGUAAUAUUGGAUAUUGAUAAAAGGGAGCAAGACAAGUCGUAAUGACCUUAAUAUUGUGGGCUA
RNAcentral lists this ribosomal RNA (831 nucleotides) under Polymeridium subcinereum. RNAcentral's name for it is "mitochondrial SSU rRNA". It matches the Rfam family "Bacterial small subunit ribosomal RNA", at positions 359 to 1216 of the family's 1533-position model. Lineage: Eukaryota; Fungi; Ascomycota; Dothideomycetes; Trypetheliales; Trypetheliaceae. The record is from RNAcentral.